This 669-nucleotide long non-coding RNA is filed under the name Triticum aestivum (bread wheat). Its description in RNAcentral is "long non-coding RNA (TAES_LNC003682)". Lineage: Eukaryota; Viridiplantae; Streptophyta; Magnoliopsida; Poales; Poaceae. The record is from RNAcentral.
GGCCUUUGCCCCCUGGCAAAUCAUCCUUGGCUUAUGUGUGUGGUGAAUGACCGUCAAUUCGGUCCAAUGAUAUUGUAAAACUGAAUUUAGAGUCUGCAAUUGUUACUUGGGGGUUUGGUAGACGGUCGUUGUGUUUGGGGACGCUGCAGCUGCAGCUGCAGCUGCCGGUUCUCUUGUUGUGGUAGGUUUGUGUGGCAUGGCAGGUGCUGCUAAGCUGGAGCCUGCUUGAACUGUUUUCCUGUCACUUUGUUGGGGUAAUAAUGACCAUCCUGUAUGAUAUUAGUACUGACUUGGAGUAAUAACCAUUCCCGGCGUGAUGCAUUGCGCCUGUGGUGGUGUUUCUUUUGAGCCAUGAAGUUAAACGACUUGAGUGUCGGCAGUUGUUGCUCCUUCUGGAAGUGGCAGGUUCAGAGAUGAUGAGAUGAGACACCCAGCCUCAGAUCUGUUUUUAGAGGAAAAGGGCUCUCGCCCCGGUUCCAUAGCAAUAAUAACGAAAUCAAAACAGAGAGUCAGCGCUUACACGGCACGCGGGGGAAAACAGUCAACAUGCUGCCCCAGCAAAAACAAAGGGAGUCUACAUCCCUGCCCCAGCAAAAACAAAGGGAGUCUACCCCUCCUAACUUGGCGUAGUCCGGUUGUGAUACAAGCCCUGAAUGUACAAAAAAAAAA